AUUUAUUUAGUAUAAAAGUACAAUUAACUUCCAAUUAAAAAGACUGUAAAAACAGAAUAAAUA
Molecule: transfer RNA, 63 nt
Filed under: Cryptophyllium westwoodii
Lineage: Eukaryota; Metazoa; Arthropoda; Insecta; Phasmatodea; Phylliidae
Description: tRNA-Gly
Source: RNAcentral